This 474-nucleotide ribosomal RNA is filed under the name uncultured organism. Its description in RNAcentral is "partial 16S ribosomal RNA". It matches the Rfam family "Bacterial small subunit ribosomal RNA", at positions 331 to 797 of the family's 1533-position model. The record is from RNAcentral.
GUACACUCCUGCGGGAGGCAGCAGUGGGGAAUUUUGGACAAUGGGGGCAACCCUGAUCCAGCAAUGCCGCGUGAGUGAAGAAGGCCUUCGGGUUGUAAAGCUCUUUUGUCAGGGAAGAAACGGUAGUAGCGAAUAACUAUUACUAAUGACGGUACCUGAAGAAUAAGCACCGGCUAACUACGUGCCAGCAGCCGCGGUAAUACGUAGGGUGCAAGCGUUAAUCGGAAUUACUGGGCGUAAAGCGUGCGCAGGCGGUUGUGUAAGUCAGAUGUGAAAUCCCCGGGCUCAACCUGGGAAUUGCAUUUGAGACUGAACGGCUAGAGUGUGUCAGAGGGGGGUAGAAUUCCACGUGUAGCAGUGAAAUGCGUAGAUAUGUGGAGGAAUACCGAUGGCGAAGGUAGCCCCCUGGGAUAACACUGACGCUCAUGCACGAAAGCGUGGGGAGCAAACAGGAUUAGAAACCCCAGUAGUCCC